GCGCCGGUUUAGCUCAGUGGUUACUUCCACACAUCCAUCCCUCCGGGGAUCGAACCACGGGUGCUGUCCGGUGUUUUC
This 78-nucleotide vault RNA is filed under the name Anabas testudineus (climbing perch). RNAcentral describes it as "Vault RNA (ENSATEG00000023100.2)". It matches the Rfam family "Vault RNA". From Rfam's summary of the family: This family of RNAs are found as part of the enigmatic vault ribonucleoprotein complex. The complex consists of a major vault protein (MVP), two minor vault proteins (VPARP and TEP1), and several small untranslated RNA molecules. The record is from Rfam by way of RNAcentral. Lineage: Eukaryota; Metazoa; Chordata; Actinopteri; Anabantiformes; Anabantidae.